Long non-coding RNA from Oreochromis niloticus (Nile tilapia), 578 nucleotides. RefSeq lists it as uncharacterized. Lineage: Eukaryota; Metazoa; Chordata; Actinopteri; Cichliformes; Cichlidae. The transcript has 4 exons. The record is from RefSeq and is a predicted model, not a curated record.
GGAAACCUUGCAAGUGGAUCGUAAAGAUGCACAUAUCAAUUUGGAAUUCUGCCUCCAAGCCAGAAUUGCAGGAAUGCACAACAUGUUGCAGAAGACUCUUUCACUGCCCUCUGUGCCCCACUUUCAGCCCUACUGUCAGGGCAAAGAUUGAGGAGCAUAUAAAUGGACACAUUAAAAAUGCUUUGCCUUUCAAAGACAAAAUGACAUGCUGGUGCAGGCUGCCAUGUAGGAUGACAGGACACUUUCACUGCCCUGUCUGUAACAUGAUAAUCAUACGGCGUGGGGAUAUGGCAAGGCAUUUAUUGUCAUGUCAGCAUUCAGGACUGCUCCCCACUGAACUCUCCGAGGAGCCACACCUCCCUCUCGAUGUCUUGUCUCCAUUUGCAGAGGACAUGGAGCUCUUUUUAAAAGCAUGUGCUGACGAGCAGGGACUACGGGUCAAUGCAAUGUUUGACAUUUAAUGGACAGAUGAAGGCACUGGCUGUUUGUUUGUGUUUUUAAUGUGUUGUUGGGUUGUUUUCCAGUGUACAGAAUUCCAGUUAAACUUAUUACAAAAUGUUGUUCACUUGUUUCCAUGU